This 233-nucleotide ribosomal RNA is filed under the name Klebsiella pneumoniae. Its description in RNAcentral is "partial 23S ribosomal RNA". It matches the Rfam family "Bacterial large subunit ribosomal RNA", at positions 621 to 856 of the family's 2925-position model. The record is from RNAcentral. Lineage: Bacteria; Pseudomonadati; Pseudomonadota; Gammaproteobacteria; Enterobacterales; Enterobacteriaceae.
CGGCGAAUUAUAUUCUGUAGCAAGGUUAACCGUGUAGGGGGGCCGCUGGGAGACCGAGUCUUAACUGAGCGUUAAGUUGCAGGGUAUAGAGACAAAACCCGGUGAUCUAGCCAUGGGCAAGUUGAAGGUUGGGUAACACUAACUGGAGGACCGAACCGAAGAAUGUUGAACAAUUAGCGGAUGACUUGUGGCUGAGGGGGAAAGGCCAAUCAAACAAGGAGAUAGCUGGUUCU